AGAAACUUAGGUUACACCAAACCAAGGGCCUUCAAAGCCCCAAACAAGAGCAAAGCCUCUUAGUUCCUG
This 69-nucleotide transfer RNA is filed under the name Orraya occultus. RNAcentral describes it as "tRNA-Trp". Lineage: Eukaryota; Metazoa; Chordata; Lepidosauria; Squamata; Carphodactylidae. The record is from RNAcentral.